CUUGCCAUUGUACAAACAUGGACUGAUACAUGAGGGAUUUGGAAGAAAGAUUACAGACAGUGGAAAUACAGAAACAGCUUAAGGGGCUAAGGCUCCAAUAACAAUGUGGCUUCUUCUACUGGAUGUACGGAGCUCUCAGGACGGCCCUGACUACUGGAUCUCCAGCAGGCACUCAGACCUCACACUGUCCCCUCCUCGUCUCCGUGGAUCUUGAGUUUUUAGAUUUGUGGCCUGACACUGUCUAGGGCCUCUGGGACACCUAUGGAGCACAGAGAAGCCAUGCCUAAGAAUGUUGAUGAGUCCUCAUCCAACACAGAACAGCUCAGGAGAUAACAAGAGGAUCAGGGAGGUUCUUUGGUUUUGUGUCUUUUACAUUUGAGACAAAAUGUUUACGAAAGAUAAAAAGAAGCGUUUUGUUUGG
This 421-nucleotide long non-coding RNA is filed under the name Rattus norvegicus (Norway rat). RNAcentral's name for it is "long non-coding RNA NONRATT009755". Lineage: Eukaryota; Metazoa; Chordata; Mammalia; Rodentia; Muridae. The record is from RNAcentral.